This 1238-nucleotide long non-coding RNA is filed under the name Astyanax mexicanus (Mexican tetra). RNAcentral describes it as "lncRNA (ENSAMXG00005024953.1)". Lineage: Eukaryota; Metazoa; Chordata; Actinopteri; Characiformes; Acestrorhamphidae. The record is from RNAcentral.
AGCAUAAGGGGACUCGUGUGUCACUAUGAUUUUCCAGACUGCACUUACGAUCCCCUCAGAGGCCUAGUAUGAGCAACAGGAACAGUCCUUGUCUGUGGACUUCAGUGCCUCAGGUCUGUCCUGCUCCAUGUGACCGCUACAAGCACGCUUCUUGUGCCUUCAGGGGAAACAUCUAUCUGCUCGGAGGUAGAAAAAAGCACUCCUUAAGGGAUUUCUGGAAAUAUAAUGUGGGUAAGUCAUCUUACACUGUGUAUCUUUUUUUUCUGUGAAUUUUCAGGUUCAUAUUAUAAGUUGAAUUUGUCAAAUAUUCUAAUCUGACACCAAUUUUUUGCAUGUCCAUGUUGCUGUCCUUAAUAAAGAUGUAUAUGUAAGUAAUCAGACCAGAACAGUUUAGGUAAAACUUAGUAAGUAUCUGAAUUAUUCAGGAGAUGGCAUGAAUAGUUAACUGUCUGACAAGUUCAGGGUGUAUUGUUUGUUGUUUCAGCACGUAAUGAGUGGAUCGAACUGGAUUGUGGGGGUGACCAGGCACCUGAGGAACUGGAGGAACAUAGCAUGGUGGCACAUCAGGGUGUGUUGUAUGUGUUUGGAGGUUUGAUAGAUUCGGCAUAUUCAAACUCAAAAUCACCUCUUUGGCCGUUUGACACAGGUGAAUCAAAAGCUCAAUAAAGUUUCAAUAAUUCAUAUUUUUAUUAAACUGUUCAGUUUAAAGAAACAUUAUGUGUGUAAAAUGAUUUUAAUAAUGCAUUGUCUUCACUGGCUUUUAAAUUCUGUUCUCUGCAGUUAAAGAGCGGUGGCUGCAUUUACAAGACCAAAGUUCACCGUCUCAGGAAAAAGACACUUGUAAACACUGUCAUGUGAUGCCAUCCAAUAGAAAGGGGCACAGCGCUGUUGUGAUGGAAUCCUCAAUGUAUAUUUAUGGGGGAUACAUUGAUAUGCGAGGGACCUCACAGGAAUUCUGGAGAUUAGACCUGGACACUGGGACAUGGUCUCUGUUGAGUAAUGCACCAGUAGGACCUGGACCAAGGCACAGUCAUUCUGCUAUGACCCACCAGGACUGUAUGUACCUGUACGGUGGCCUGCAAGGCCUAAAGGAACAGAGGGACUUGUGGAGAUGGAGCUUUCACAGCCAGGCCUGGAGCUGCAUCAGAGCAUCGUGAGUGAAUAGUAAUCUAGUCAAAACACAUCUCAAAUCAUCACAGUAAAGCUUCAUUUUAAAAUAAACUUUUAAAUAAUCCACA